AGCUGCGUGGUGAGCACAAAGCGAACUAUUCUUUCGCCUUUUACUAAAUAAUACCGUGUAAUCGCCACAUCAAGCAGGGUGCUUU
This 85-nucleotide small nuclear RNA is filed under the name Dichanthelium oligosanthes. RNAcentral's name for it is "U5 spliceosomal RNA". It matches the Rfam family "U5 spliceosomal RNA", at positions 1 to 86 of the family's 117-position model. From Rfam's summary of the family: U5 RNA is a component of both types of known spliceosome. The precise function of this molecule is unknown, though it is known that the 5' loop is required for splice site selection and p220 binding, and that both the 3' stem-loop and the Sm site are important for Sm protein binding and cap methylation. The record is from Rfam by way of RNAcentral. Lineage: Eukaryota; Viridiplantae; Streptophyta; Magnoliopsida; Poales; Poaceae.